UUAAUUGAAACCAAAAUCGAGGUAUAUCACUGUUAAUGAUAAAAUUGAGACACAUCUCCAAUUAAA
Molecule: transfer RNA, 66 nt
Filed under: Aeolesthes oenochrous
Lineage: Eukaryota; Metazoa; Arthropoda; Insecta; Coleoptera; Cerambycidae
Description: tRNA-Asn
Source: RNAcentral